UGGGGAAUAUUGCGCAAUGGGGGAAACCCUGACGCAGCAACGCCGCGUGGAGGAUGAAGGUUUUCGGAUUGUAAACUCCUUUGAUCGGGGACGAAAAAUGACGGUACCCGAAAAACAAGCCACGGCUAACUACGUGCCAGCAGCCGCGGUAAUACGUAGGUGGCGAGCGUUGUCCGGAAUUACUGGGUGUAAAGGGCGUGUAGGCGGGAUUGCAAGUCAGAUGUGAAAUUCCAGGGCUCAACUCUGGAGCUGCAUCUGAAACUGUGAUUCUUGAGUGCUGGAGAGGAUAGUGGAAUUCCUAGUGUAGCGGUGAAAUGCGUAGAUAUUAGGAGGAACACCAGUGGCGAAGGCGGCUAUCUGGACAGUAACUGACGCUGAGGCGCGAAAGCGUGGGGAGCAA
This 400-nucleotide ribosomal RNA is filed under the name uncultured bacterium. RNAcentral's name for it is "bacterial SSU rRNA". It matches the Rfam family "Bacterial small subunit ribosomal RNA", at positions 355 to 771 of the family's 1533-position model. The record is from RNAcentral.